Molecule: unclassified non-coding RNA, 240 nt
Filed under: soil metagenome
Description: partial contains 5.8S ribosomal RNA, internal transcribed spacer 2, and large subunit ribosomal RNA
Source: RNAcentral
AACGCACGAGACCUGCGGACCUGCGGAGGGAUCAUUAAUGAGAAACUGCCCCUCGCGGGUAGAUCUCCCACCCUUUGUAAACUUACCUUUGUUGCUUUGGCAGGCCCGUCUCCGGACCGCCGGCUUCGGCUGGCCAGUGCCUGCCAGAGGAUUCUAAAACUCUGUCUGUCAGUGUUGUCUGAGUCUAUAUACUAUCGUUAAAACUUUUAACAAUGGAUCUCUAGAUCGGAAGAGCACACG